UACAGAGGUCCCAAGCGUUGUUCGGAUUCACUGGGCGUAAAGGGUGCGUAGGUGGCGGGGCAAGUCUGAUGUGAAAGCUCGGAGCUCAACUCCGAAACGGCAUUGGAAACUGCCUUGCUCGAGGGUUGGAGGGGGGACUGGAAUUCUCGGUGUAGCAGUGAAAUGCGUAGAUAUCGAGAGGAACACCGGUGGCGAAGGCGAGUCCCUGGACAACUCCUGACACUGAGGCACGAAAGCCGGGGGAG
Molecule: ribosomal RNA, 245 nt
Filed under: uncultured bacterium
Lineage: Bacteria
Description: partial 16S ribosomal RNA
Rfam family: Bacterial small subunit ribosomal RNA
Source: RNAcentral